Molecule: long non-coding RNA, 264 nt
Filed under: Hordeum vulgare
Lineage: Eukaryota; Viridiplantae; Streptophyta; Magnoliopsida; Poales; Poaceae
Description: long non-coding RNA (HVUL_LNC012119)
Source: RNAcentral
UGAUCUACCUUUAUUACACUAACCUAUUUCACAAUGUUCCAUUAAGUUUUGUGUGAUUGAAGUUUUCAAGUUUUGGGUGAGAUACCGAUAUGAGGAGAAUAAGAAGAAGCAAUAACCUAAGCUUGGGGAUGCCCAAGGCACCACCAAGGUUAUAUCCAAGUAAGACUCAAGCGUCUAAGCUUGGGGAUGCCCCGGAAGGCAUCCUCUCUUUCGUCUUCAACACUAUCGAUAUAUCUUACUUCGAGAUAUAUUUUUAUUCAUCAC